RNAcentral lists this long non-coding RNA (830 nucleotides) under Lonchura striata (white-rumped munia). RNAcentral describes it as "domestica (Bengalese finch) lncRNA (ENSLSDG00000015638.1)". Lineage: Eukaryota; Metazoa; Chordata; Aves; Passeriformes; Estrildidae. The record is from RNAcentral.
CGCCGCCCUUGCCGCCUCAGGAGCGGCGGGGAGCGGCUGUGGGGCCGCGCGGGGUGUGUGCGCCUGGCUGUGAGCGUGUGUGUGUGUGUGUGUGUGUGUGCAGCGGGCAGCCAUGCGGCGCUGGGGGCUCCUUCUCUUGCCGGCGCUCCUCGCCGGCCUGGGCUCCGUCACAGGCCAAGAUGACUUCUCUUUAGAUGAAGCACUUUUGGAAGAAAAUACAAAGAAGCCUCCUGUAACUCAGAAGACACCAUCAUCAGGUGCAGAUGAUUUUGAUUUGUCCGAGGCGCUUGAUUUUGGUGAUCCCAUGCCACAUCCUUCUGCAAAUCCUAGAGACACUGAUAACCCCAAGCAAGAUCAACCUAAAGGCUCUGACAAAUUUGAUGAUUCAGAUCUAUGGGAUGGCAGUUCCCCAAGAGGAGGAAGUGAUGGCAGUGGCAGCAAUGCUUCUCAGGGAGCAAUAGCUGGAAUUAUAAGUGCUGUAGGUGCUACAGUAGUUGCAUCGGUAGCUAGUUUCAUUGCUUACCAGAAGAAGAAACUCUGUUUCAAGCAAAGCGGUAAGAGCUCCAAAUUAGUUUUGUUUCCUACUGUCUUAAGAGAGGCAUUUUUGUAUUUAUAUGUGGACUAUAAAUUGAUCCUAUGCACAAGGUAGUUGUAAUAACCCAGUGAAGUUAGGUUUACAGGGAGUAACCUUUCCCACUAGUCAUCUAAGACUGAUGAAUUCCUUGCCCACAAACUUAUUUUUCUGGCUAAAAAUAAGCAGGAGAGACUGCAAAAAAUACUUUUUAAGGAGAAUCAAGUGAAGGUUGGGAUUAGAGAUUUUUCAUGCCGAA